CAGCAGCCACGGUAAUACAGAGGGUGCGAGCGUUAAUCGGAUUUACUGGGCGUAAAGCGUGCGUAGGCGGCUUCUUAAGUCGGAUGUGAAAUCCCUGAGCUUAACUUAGGAAUUGCAUUCGAUACUGGGAAGCUAGAGUAUGGGAGAGGAUGGUAGAAUUCCAGGUGUAGCGGUGAAAUGCGUAGAGAUCUGGAGGAAUACCGAUGGCGAAGGCAGCCAUCUGGCCUAAUACUGACGCUGAGGUACGAAAGCAUGGGGAGCAAACAGGAUUAGAUACCCGAGUAGUCCCUGUCUCUUAUAA
This 301-nucleotide ribosomal RNA is filed under the name uncultured bacterium. RNAcentral describes it as "partial 16S ribosomal RNA". It matches the Rfam family "Bacterial small subunit ribosomal RNA", at positions 509 to 809 of the family's 1533-position model. The record is from RNAcentral.